GAAGAGCUCACUCCCCUUAGUUUUUUCCAGGGAGUGAAACCAGGGUCAAUGGGAGGAAAUAACACAAGCAAUAAUGCCACGGAGGAUAGUGUUUAUCUGUUACUCUUGUGAGCCCACCACCAUCGUGGGGCCUACCUGCAUGUGUCCCCUUCCAGACUCAUGGAUAAUCACCGUGUCACUCAGUCUUGGCCCUAACUUCUCCUGCACAGCAAAGACUCCACAUCCAGUUUCAUGGAAGUGGCCAAUUGGGCUGAAGCCUGAGAUUUUGAAUUUACAGAUAAGCUCCUGGAUGGU
This 294-nucleotide long non-coding RNA is filed under the name Vulpes vulpes (red fox). Its description in RNAcentral is "lncRNA (ENSVVUG00000008475.1)". Lineage: Eukaryota; Metazoa; Chordata; Mammalia; Carnivora; Canidae. The record is from RNAcentral.